This 200-nucleotide ribosomal RNA is filed under the name uncultured organism. RNAcentral describes it as "partial small subunit ribosomal RNA". It matches the Rfam family "Bacterial small subunit ribosomal RNA", at positions 1184 to 1382 of the family's 1533-position model. The record is from RNAcentral.
GUCAAGUCAUCAUGCCCCUUAUGUCCAGGGCUACACACGUGCUACAUUGGCCGGCACAGAGGGCGGCGAUACCGCGAGGUGGAGCGAAUCCCACAAAGCCGGUCUCGGUUCGGAUUGGAGGCUGAAACUCGCCUCCAUGAAGCUGGAGUUGCUAGUAAUCGCAGAUCAGCAAUGCUGCGGUGAAUGCGUUCCCGGGUCUU